UCUGGUUAUCUACUAUUCUCAGGGUAUAAAGC
Molecule: non-coding RNA, 32 nt
Filed under: Rattus norvegicus (Norway rat)
Lineage: Eukaryota; Metazoa; Chordata; Mammalia; Rodentia; Muridae
Source: RNAcentral